UACGUAGGGUGCGAGCGUUAAUCGGAAUUACUGGGCGUAAAGCGUGCGCAGGCGGUUCGUUGUGUCGGCGGUGAAAGCCCCGGGCUUAACCUGGGAAUGGCCGUUGAAACUGGCGAACUGGAGUGUGGCAGAGGGGGGUGGAAUUCCGCGUGUAGCAGUGAAAUGCGUAGAGAUGCGGAGGAACACCGAUGGCGAAGGCAGCCCCCUGGGCCAACACUGACGCUCAGGCACGAAAGCGUGGGGAGCAAACAGG
Molecule: ribosomal RNA, 253 nt
Filed under: uncultured bacterium
Lineage: Bacteria
Description: partial 16S ribosomal RNA
Rfam family: Bacterial small subunit ribosomal RNA
Source: RNAcentral